RNAcentral lists this ribosomal RNA (490 nucleotides) under uncultured bacterium. RNAcentral describes it as "partial 16S ribosomal RNA". It matches the Rfam family "Bacterial small subunit ribosomal RNA", at positions 28 to 507 of the family's 1533-position model. The record is from RNAcentral.
GAUGAACGCUAGCUACAGGCUUAACACAUGCAAGUCGCGGGGCAGCAUGGGGGUUGCUUGCACUCCCCGAUGGCGACCGGCGCACGGGUGAGUAACGCGUAUCCAACCUGCCCUUCACCACGGGAUAACCCGGCGAAAGUCGGACUAAUACCGUAUGUUGUCCAUUGACGGCCUCCGAUUUGGACGAAAGGCUUGGCGGUGAGGGGUGGGGAUGCGUCCGAUUAGCCAGACGGCGGGGUAACGGCCCACCGUGGCUACGAUCGGUAGGGGUUCUGAGAGGAAGGUCCCCCACACUGGAACUGAGACACGGUCCAGACGCCUACGGGAGGCAGCAGUGAGGAAUAUUGGUCAAUGGGCGUAAGCCUGAACCAGCCAAGUAGCGUGCAGGAUGACGGCCCUAUGGGUUGUAAACUGCUUUUAUGCGGGGAUAAAGUGGCCCACGUGUGGGCUUUUGCAGGUACCGCAUGAAUAAGGACCGGCUAAUUCCGUG